UACGAAGGGUGCAAGCGUUACUCGGAAUUACUGGGCGUAAAGGGUGCGUAGGUGGUUUUUUAAGUCCGUUGUGAAAUCCCUGGGCUCAACCUGGGAAUGGCAGUGGAUACUGGAAAGCUAGAGUGCGGUAGAGGGUAGUGGAAUUCCCGGUGUAGCAGUGAAAUGCGUAGAGAUCGGGAGGAACACCAGUGGCGAAGGCGGCUACCUGGACCAGCACUGACACUGAAGCACGAAAGCGUGGGGAGCAAACAGG
This 253-nucleotide ribosomal RNA is filed under the name uncultured bacterium. RNAcentral's name for it is "partial 16S ribosomal RNA". It matches the Rfam family "Bacterial small subunit ribosomal RNA", at positions 524 to 776 of the family's 1533-position model. The record is from RNAcentral.